Molecule: non-coding RNA, 241 nt
Organism: Pelobates cultripes (western spadefoot toad)
Lineage: Eukaryota; Metazoa; Chordata; Amphibia; Anura; Pelobatidae
Source: the annotation of a GenBank genome assembly
AGUUUCAGACGUUCACGCUUUUGACUCUCACGCUGUCACCUUUGCACCAGACGGUGUCAGAUUUACCAUUACAAGACGAAUUCUUCGUCAGUCUUUUAUCCAUACUUUCCUGAUAGGCCGUCACUCUGUGUGGCCCUGUGCACCCGUUGUUACAUUGACAACACUAUCUCUCUGCGUCCCCCUACCGGACCUCUGUUUGUCUCUUACGUUAAGCCUCACAAACCGGUCUCCUCCCCCACCA